This 1329-nucleotide long non-coding RNA is filed under the name Phasianus colchicus (ring-necked pheasant). Its description in RNAcentral is "lncRNA (ENSPCLG00000000831.1)". The record is from RNAcentral. Lineage: Eukaryota; Metazoa; Chordata; Aves; Galliformes; Phasianidae.
AAGUUGAGCCGCGCACUUUCUCCACGCGUACCAACAGCGGCUCUGCCUAAGGAGGACGGGGCUGGGAGCCCCGCACGGCGCAGGAAGAGAUGCGCUGCUUACGCCGCGGCUGAGGUCACCUCCCCCGUCCCCUCGCGUACCGGAGAAACGCUUUCAGGACCACCCGGCCCCUCCGCGCAGCCCGGGCCCCACGGCCAUCUGGGACGGGGCCGACGGCGGCCACAUGGUCCCGGCGCCUCCCAUCCCCACCGGGGCCCGGCUCCCGGGGCCUCCCGCAGGGAGGGCCAGGUGGGAGGGGUGCCGGCCGACCCGGCAGGCCCGCACAAAGCCCGACGGCUCCGCGGGGACCCCGGGUUGGGCGGGGGGGCGGCACGGCCCUGCGGCUCCCCGGGGAGCGGCGCCCCCCUCCGCAGCCCGGCCCGCCGGAGCCCCCUCCCAGGGCCCCGCAGACAAUGGAGCCCGCACCGCCGGCCUACUCCCCGCUUCCUGCCCGCCGCACGCCCCCCGCCCGCCCCGCCGCCGCCGUCCCGCGGGCGCUCCCGAGCGGGACGGGGCGCUAUCGGGCCCGGGGCGCGGGGCCGCGGCCCGCAGGCACCGGCGCCGCGGAGGCAGAGAGCGGGCGGCGGCGGCGGGCGGCGGGGCGGGGAGAGCCGGAGCGCCCUGCCCGGCCCCUUCCCGGUGCCGGAACGGGGCCACUCACCUCCCCGGGCGGCCGCCGCAGGGAAAGCCGGAGGUCGCCGCUGCCGCCGCCGCCCGGCCGGGCCCGAAGGAGUUAAAAGGAAGGGCCGGGCGGGCCCGUCCCAUUCAUUAGCUGGGCGCUUUGUCUCCAGCCGCCGCCGCCGCCGCCGCGGCGCUGAGCAGGCUGCCCCGGCUCGGCCGCCACAGGGCGCGCUGCGCAGGCGCCGGGCGCGGGGGGCGGCCCCGCAACCGUCGAGCGGCGGCACGCACGACGCACAACAUGUCAUCCGCCGGGCCGCAAAAUGGCCGCCCCCGGGGCCGCGGCGGGCGACUGCGCCAUCCGGAUUCGGGCGGCGGGACGCGGCCUUCUCCUUUGGGUCCCGGGGGGCGGCCGUGGUCUGUAAGGCUGGCUCGGGGUCGGGGCCGGCCGGGGGCUGCCGGGGCUGCGGCUCGUCCCAGCUCCCGGCUGAGGCGGCCGGUGCUUCGCAGCGCGCUCGGCGGUGGCCGCAGUGGGACUCGGACCCGCUGCAGGCCCGGCCGGGUGGGCGGCUCCGGUCCGCAGCACGUCGAGCGGGUGGGCGCCGCCGACUUGAGCGGCGUUCUCUCCCGUAUCGGGGGAUUCGAUGGCUGUUGUGUGUGUUUGCUUUUUAA